Small nucleolar RNA from Lepidothrix coronata (blue-crowned manakin), 163 nucleotides. Ensembl annotates it as small nucleolar RNA, C/D box 97. The record is from Ensembl. NCBI's taxonomy places the organism in Eukaryota, Metazoa, Chordata, Aves, Passeriformes, Pipridae.
UUGCCCAAUGAUUAUAGCAAGACGCGUUAUUAUGAGGACUAAUGCUGGAACUCUUUCUUCUUCUCCUCCUCCUCCUCCUUUGUCCCUUCCUCUUUCACCUUACUCCCCUCACUUUCCUUAGGGUAUCCAGCGUCCUAUGAGCAAGACUGAGAUAUGAGGGCAA